RNAcentral lists this ribosomal RNA (540 nucleotides) under uncultured bacterium. RNAcentral describes it as "partial 16S ribosomal RNA". It matches the Rfam family "Bacterial small subunit ribosomal RNA", at positions 355 to 889 of the family's 1533-position model. The record is from RNAcentral.
UGGGGAAUUUUGGACAAUGGGCGCAAGCCUGAUCCAGCCAUGCCGCGUGCGGGAAGAAGGCCUUCGGGUUGUAAACCGCUUUUGUCAGGGAAGAAAUCUUCUGAGUUAAUACCUCGGGAGGAUGACGGUACCUGAAGAAUAAGCACCGGCUAACUACGUGCCAGCAGCCGCGGUAAUACGUAGGGUGCAAGCGUUAAUCGGAAUUACUGGGCGUAAAGCGUGCGCAGGCGGUUUUGUAAGACAGAGGUGAAAUCCCCGGGCUCAACCUGGGAACUGCCUUUGUGACUGCAAGGCUUGAGUGCGGCAGAGGGGGAUGGAAUUCCGCGUGUAGCAGUGAAAUGCGUAGAUAUGCGGAGGAACACCGAUGGCGAAGGCGAUCCCCUGGGCCUGCACUGACGCUCAUGCACGAAAGCGUGGGGAGCAAACAGAUUAGAUCCCUGGUAGUCCACGCCCUAAAACGAUGUCAACUGGUUGUUGGGAAGGUUCCUUCUCAGUAACGUAGCUAACGCGUGAAGUUGACCGCCUGGGGAGUACGGCCGC